GGGCUCCCUUCAUUGUCAGUGUAAGGUGGUAAUGUUGAGCUGUGGGAACAUCAGAGGGGAAGUAUUCAGAUCACCCGGCCGUUGGUCCAGCCCCUUUCACAAGGGCCAAGAACAUGGGCUAUCUAUCUUCCUCUGGCUACCAGGGAUAGCUUGAACACUGCCUGCAGCAGUCAGCAUGGCUGGGCUUUGUAAACAGAAGCCUGACCCAUUUAACUCUUCCCAGGGGUUGGGUAAGAGGCUUGACUCAUGGCAGACAUGAAACUGCGGCCUAAUUGGAUGCUAAUUACUCAGAAGAACACUAUUUACCCAAACUUGCAGUAAACCAAGCUCCUCACGAAAUGAGAGCAGGCAGCAAGGAACACGAUGGAGAUCGAGACAUCCUCCUGGAAAGUCCUUUUUUAAAAAAAGAUACGAUGUUACUAAUUGCAUAAGACUAAACAAAGGCAAGACCGGUGAAGCCCCCUUCUGGGCUGAGGAUGGCCUCUGUGCUUCUACAGUGACUGUUCACCUGGAAACAUUUGCAGAUACGGGAGGCUAACGGAAGUCCUAGAGCCAAGCGGAAGGAAGCAAGCAGGAUUUCCCACAGUGUGGGAAACCCCUUCGUGAUGGGCGCAACCUUCAAGGGAAACACAUCUCUGUGCGCGAUGCAGUGUCAUGUGACGCAGCCACCAUUUCUGACACGGUCGAUAUGAACGUCAGGCCCGACUCUCUCCGCAGACCCAAGACGCACGAACCCAAACAUUAAAGAGAUGUGCGGACACAGGAAACAACGCGAUGAUAACCAGGAAUGGAUCGAAUUGUGGGUGGCUUGUUCGCCACCAGCUCCCUGGAGGGUGUGAGACACCGAUUUGACCCACUGCUGACUCUGACUUUUCCCAGCACCGUCACAGGCAGUUGGGAAACUUGCGGGGCCUGGGUGUGGCCUGCUUCUUAGCAUCUACUUUCAGACUCUCGAGUGUAGAAAUACCCUGGGAGCCAGAACACACCUUCUGUGACCACGCGCCCUGUGGUUGUCUUACCACUCUGAGAGUUCCGGCAAGAGGAGUGGAGCUGUGUGACCCUCCAGUGACCAAGCUGCUUCAACCUCAGACUCUAACGUUUCACACAAGCUCCCGAAAGUUCUCCUCCAAAAUUCUGACAAAGACAAGGCCAAUCUUUCUAUUCUAAUCUAGGUAAAUUUUCACAAGAAACAGAUUUUUUUCUUCUUCUCCUUCUUCUUUGAGGAAGGGCUCAGUGGACUGCAUCGGUGAGCGGUACAGAAUGGGUUCAAAUUCUCAUCUACCGCCUCUGGGUCGGGACCAGGAAGGAGAGAUAUUCCAAGGAGCCAACAUUACAAGGAGGAGGCAUUGGCAUAAACCAAACACUUUUAUUAUUUGAGGAGGAAAAGGCCAAAUCACAAAACCUUUAAUACUCAAGACCCUCCAAGGUUCAACCAUGUAAAGCUGCCAUCUUGGCUGACAAAAACUCAGGGGUAGACGUGGCAAUUUCACGUGGCUCAACUGCAUAUAAACCGAAGGGUUGGCCAAGCUUUGGACAGGAGCACACGUUCCCCGUCCCGUGUCUGUUUACAUUAUAGACAGGUGUCCCAGUGACACACAGGUCCCGUCUGAAAGGCAGCCUCUGCUUAGCUGCAGAGCAUUCAGUCUGCAGGCCAAGGCUCCCAGGACUGGCACAGCAGGUCCUCGCCGUUCUUGGGUCCAUUUGCAAGGUCUCGUGGUUUGAUGACUCUCUGUCGGUGUCACCUGCUGGCCCCGAGGCCACCCUGCCGGUGAACGGCAAAGUGUGUGCUCCUGCUUUUGAAACCCAGUGACGGGGUGAAAGCUUUGGGGUCUCGAGGUGGGGUCUCGAGCUCUUCACCAGAUAGGAACACCGCGCAAGCAGCUCCGCCCUGUUUCCCAUCUUGCUUUGGCCCUGCCUGUGCUCCUGGGUAUCCGAGGCCAAGAAAAAUAAGAGGAGUAAACCCUCUCAGGACACGGAGCAGAAAGAGGCACGUGCAACCCAGAUGCAAGAAACACGGCAGGUCAGGGGGAUGGGAAGCGCCAGGCUUCACUUGAGGUCAAAGGCUGAUGGACGAUCGAUCCCUCCCGACUGCCCUCGGCGCUGCCCGACACAUUUCCCUUUACACGAGCGAAGAUAAAAAUAAAGCUUUCGUACAAAUUACA
This is a long non-coding RNA of Mesocricetus auratus (golden hamster), 2162 nucleotides long. RefSeq lists it as uncharacterized. NCBI's taxonomy places the organism in Eukaryota, Metazoa, Chordata, Mammalia, Rodentia, Cricetidae. The record is from RefSeq and is a predicted model, not a curated record. The transcript has 3 exons.